GAUGAACGCUAGCGGCAGGCUUAAUACAUGCAAGUCGAGGGGUAAGGUCUCUUCGGAGAUACACGACCGGCGAACGGGUGCGUAACGCGUACACAACCUACCUUUUAGAGGGGGAUAGGCUUUAGAAAUGAAGAUUAAUACCCCAUAGAAUUACAAAUAGGCAUCUAUUAUUAAUUAAAGAUUUAUCGCUAAGAGAUGGGUGUGCGUUCCAUUAGCUAGUUGGUAGGGUAACGGCCUACCAAGGCAACGAUGGAUAGCUGUUCUGAGAGGAAGAUCAGCCACACGGGCACUGAGACACGGGCCCGACUCCUACGGGAGGCAGCAGUAAGGAAUAUUGGGCAAUGGAGGCAACUCUGACCCAGCCAUGCCGCGUGCAGGAAGACUGCCCUAUGGGUUGUAAACUGCUUUUAUAUAGGAAGAAUCGCAUUUAUUUAUAAGUGUUUGACGGUACUAUAAGAAUAAGCACCGGCUAACUCCG
RNAcentral lists this ribosomal RNA (478 nucleotides) under uncultured Bacteroidota bacterium. RNAcentral's name for it is "bacterial SSU rRNA". It matches the Rfam family "Bacterial small subunit ribosomal RNA", at positions 28 to 505 of the family's 1533-position model. Lineage: Bacteria; Pseudomonadati; Bacteroidota. The record is from RNAcentral.